This 227-nucleotide unclassified non-coding RNA is filed under the name Hevea brasiliensis (rubber tree). The record is from RNAcentral. Lineage: Eukaryota; Viridiplantae; Streptophyta; Magnoliopsida; Malpighiales; Euphorbiaceae.
AAAAAAACAGGCUAUUUCAAGAUCCGAUGUAUUGUCACAUCACUCGACAAGAGUAGAAAAAUUACAUAUAGAACGCCAGUUGAUUGGUACAAGGAAGAUAAAGGGGCUGGAAAAAGAAAAAGGAUUUUUGGAAUUAAAAAUUUGAAAAUGAUUUCAUCUUUUUAUUAAAUAAGAAAAAUAUUUAUAUUAAGUCAAUAAAAUUAUUUAUAAUAAUAUAAUUAUAAAUA